GGCGUAAGCGCGCGCAGGCGGUCUUUUAAGUCUGAUGUGAAAGCCCCCGGCUUAACCGGGGAGGGUCAUUGGAAACUGGAAGACUGGAGUGCAGAAGAGGAGAGUGGAAUUCCACGUGUAGCGGUGAAAUGCGUAGAUAUGUGGAGGAACACCAGUGGCGAAGGCGACUCUCUGGUCUGUAACUGACGCUGAGGCGCGAAAGCGUGGGGAGCAAACAGGAUUAGAUACCC
Molecule: ribosomal RNA, 230 nt
Filed under: Listeria welshimeri
Lineage: Bacteria; Bacillati; Bacillota; Bacilli; Caryophanales; Listeriaceae
Description: partial 16S ribosomal RNA
Rfam family: Bacterial small subunit ribosomal RNA
Source: RNAcentral